AAGAACUUUUUUAAGUAUUUUUUGUUUUUUAAUUAACCAAUAAAUAUUGUGGCGAACGCUCGAAUAUUCAUGCCUAUUAUGGUGGAGGGAGUUUUACUCACUUUUGACAGAUUUUGGUAUUAUCGAAAGCGCUCGAUAAUGAGUCAAAAUAGGUUAAUGCAGUUUACGAAUGAAAUAAAAAAGUGGCAUCAUUGAAAACGCUUCCGAUCCGUGAUUCGUACAAAUUUCUCUAUCUGUCAUUCACGCGCCAUUGUGCUGCGGAUACUAAAAACGAUAAGAUGGAUAGCAAUAAAAUGAAGCAUACAACGACCAGGGAGCAAUUUAAAUGUUUAGUUUCCAAAAUGAAGGAGCAUCCGGACAUAGUAAAAAAUUUUACUAAAAAUGCACCUGAUUUGGUAGAAAGAUUUUAGGAAAGUGUGCGAGAGGACCGCCAUCAAAAACCAUUGCCGAAUGGAAAAAGGUUUGGUCGGAUUAUAAAUCGGCGAUAAAGAAGAAGCUCGCGCAUAACAAAAGAGAGCUACAUGCGACUGGUGGAGGAGAAAAUAGGGAGAUUCCCUUAACAUCUAGGGAAGAAGAAGUUGCUACCCUUGUGUGUCUUAAUCAGGGUUCGGAUUUGCCUCAUUUUGGCCCCUCGCUCGCUCGUUAGUUUGCUCUGAGUUAGCGCAACUCACGAGGAACACGCGAGGCUGUUUGCAAAUGAGCACUCGUUAGGUACGAGCGCACGCGAUGAGUAGCCAGCGAGCGAGUCAGCAAACGAGGGCGGCGCAAGAGUAGAGCGUAAAGCAAACGAGGGCCUCAUUAGCUCUGCCCUCGCG
Long non-coding RNA from Rhagoletis zephyria (snowberry fruit fly), 815 nucleotides. RefSeq lists it as uncharacterized. The record is from RefSeq and is a predicted model, not a curated record. Lineage: Eukaryota; Metazoa; Arthropoda; Insecta; Diptera; Tephritidae.